This 219-nucleotide ribosomal RNA is filed under the name uncultured bacterium. Its description in RNAcentral is "partial 16S ribosomal RNA". It matches the Rfam family "Bacterial small subunit ribosomal RNA", at positions 524 to 743 of the family's 1533-position model. The record is from RNAcentral.
UACAGAGGGUGCAAGCGUUGCUCGGAUUUACUGGGCGUAAAGCGUACGCAGACGGUGAGAAAGGUCGGAUGUGGAAAGCCCCGGGCUCAACCCGGGAACUGCAUCCGAAACCAUCUCGCUAGAGUAUGGGAGAGGGAAGCAGAAUUCCUGGUGUAGAGGUGAAAUUCGUAGAUAUCAGGAGGAAUACCUGCGGCGAAGGCGGCUUCCUGGCCCUUAUGA